CUAUCACAUCACGUUGAAACAUCGAUUCCCGUAAGAUCACCGAAGUUAAGCAACGUCGAGUCUAGUUAGUACCUAGAUGGGUAACCGCUUGGGAAUACCUGGCGCCGUAAG
Molecule: non-coding RNA, 111 nt
Organism: Acanthosepion pharaonis
Lineage: Eukaryota; Metazoa; Mollusca; Cephalopoda; Sepiida; Sepiidae
Source: the annotation of a GenBank genome assembly